UGGGAAAAGAAUGGAAAUUCCGGUGCUCUC
RNAcentral lists this non-coding RNA (30 nucleotides) under Rattus norvegicus (Norway rat). The record is from RNAcentral. Lineage: Eukaryota; Metazoa; Chordata; Mammalia; Rodentia; Muridae.